AGCAGCCAUCAUUUAAAGAAAGCGUAAUAGCUCACUGGUCGAGUCGGCCUGCGCGGAAGAUGUAACGGGGCUAAACCAUGCACCGAAGCUGCGGCAGCGACGCUGAUGCGUUGUUGGGUAGGGGAGCGUUCUGUAAGCCUGCGAAGGUGUGCUGUGAGGCAUGCUGGAGGUAUCAGAAGUGCGAAUGCUGACAUAAGUAACGAUAAAGCGGGUGAAAAGCCCGCUCGCCGGAAGACCAAGGGUUCCUGUCCAACGUUAAUCGGGGCAGGGUGAGUCGACCCCUAAGGCGAGGCCGAAAGGCGUAGUCGAUGGGAAACAGGUUAAUAUUCCUGUACUUGGUGUUACUGCGAAGGGGGGACGGAGAAGGCUAUGUUGGCCGGGCGACGGUUGUCCCGGUUUAAGCAUGUAGGCUGGUUUUCCAGGCAAAUCCGGAAAAUCAAGGCUGAGGCGUGAUGACGAGGCACUACGGUGCUGAAGCAACAAAUGCCCUGCUUCCAGGAAAAGCCUCUAAGCAUCAGGUAACAUCAAAUCGUACCCCAAACCGACACAGGUGGUCAGGUAGAGAAUACCAAGGCGCUUGAGAGAACUCGGGUGAAGGAACUAGGCAAAAUGGUGCCGUAACUUCGGGAGAAGGCACGCUGAUAUGUAGGUGAGGUCCCUCGCGGAUGGAGCUGAAAUCAGUCGAAGAUACCAGCUGGCUGCAACUGUUUAUUAAAAACACAGCACUGUGCAAACACGAAAGUGGACGUAUACGGUGUGACGCCUGCCCGGUGCCGGAAGGUUAAUUGAUGGGGUUAGCGCAAGCGAAGCUCUUGAUCGAAGCCCCGGUAAACGGCGGCCGUAACUAUAACGGUCCUAAGGUAGCGAAAUUCCUUGUCGGGUAAGUUCCGACCUGCACGAAUGGCGUAAUGAUGGCCAGGCUGUCUCCACCCGAGACUCAGUGAAAUUGAACUCGCUGUGAAGAUGCAGUGUACCCGCGGCAAGACGGAAAGACCCCGUGAACCUUUACUAUAGCUUGACACUGAACAUUGAGCCUUGAUGUGUAGGAUAGGUGGGAGGCUUUGAAGUGUGGACGCCAGUCUGCAUGGAGCCGACCUUGAAAUACCACCCUUUAAUGUUUGAUGUUCUAACGUUGACCCGUAAUCCGGGUUGCGGACAGUGUCUGGUGGGUAGUUUGACUGGGGCGGUCUCCUCCUAAAGAGUAACGGAGGAGCACGAAGGUUGGCUAAUCCUGGUCGGACAUCAGGAGGUUAGUGCAAUGGCAUAAGCCAGCUUGACUGCGAGCGUGACGGCGCGAGCAGGUGCGAAAGCAGGUCAUAGUGAUCCGGUGGUUCUGAAUGGAAGGGCCAUCGCUCAACGGAUAAAAGGUACUCCGGGGAUAACAGGCUGAUACCGCCCAAGAGUUCAUAUCGACGGCGGUGUUUGGCACCUCGAUGUCGGCUCAUCACAUCCUGGGGCUGAAGUAGGUCCCAAGGGUAUGGCUGUUCGCCAUUUAAAGUGGUACGCGAGCUGGGUUUAGAACGUCGUGAGACAGUUCGGUCCCUAUCUGCCGUGGGCGCUGGAGAACUGAGGGGGGCUGCUCCUAGUACGAGAGGACCGGAGUGGACGCAUCACUGGUGUUCGGGUUGUCAUGCCAAUGGCACUGCCCGGUAGCUAAAUGCGGAAGAGAUAAGUGCUGAAAGCAUCUAAGCACGAAACUUGCCCCGAGAUGAGUUCUCCCUGACUCCUUGAGAGUCCUGAAGGAACGUUGAAGACGACGACGUUGAUAGGCCGGGUGUGUAAGCGCAGCGAUGCGUUGAGCUAACCGGUACUAAUGAACCGUGAGGCUUAACCUU
Molecule: ribosomal RNA, 1835 nt
Filed under: Escherichia coli
Lineage: Bacteria; Pseudomonadati; Pseudomonadota; Gammaproteobacteria; Enterobacterales; Enterobacteriaceae
Description: bacterial LSU rRNA
Rfam family: Bacterial large subunit ribosomal RNA
Source: RNAcentral